ACGUAUGGUGCAAGCGUUAUCCGGAUUUACUGGGUGUAAAGGGAGCGUAGGUGGCUGUGCAAGUCAGAAGUGAAAGCCCGGGGCUUAACCCCGGGACUGCUUUUGAAACUGUGCGGCUGGAGUGCAGGAGAGGUAAGUGGAAUUCCUAGUGUAGCGGUGAAAUGCGUAGAUAUUAGGAGGAACACCGGUGGCGAAGGCGGCUUACUGGACUGUAACUGACACUGAGGCUCGAAAGCGUGGGGAGCAAACAG
Molecule: ribosomal RNA, 251 nt
Filed under: uncultured bacterium
Lineage: Bacteria
Description: partial 16S ribosomal RNA
Rfam family: Bacterial small subunit ribosomal RNA
Source: RNAcentral